RNAcentral lists this long non-coding RNA (733 nucleotides) under Homo sapiens (human). Its description in RNAcentral is "HSALNT0292845". Lineage: Eukaryota; Metazoa; Chordata; Mammalia; Primates; Hominidae. The record is from RNAcentral.
UCGCCGCCAACACCGCCCUUGCAGCCGUCCGCCUCCGGCGCGCCCACGUCGCCCCCCGCCCGUCGUCGCCCUCGCCCACCACAUCGAUGUCCACGUCCUCGGCCGUCAGCACCGUCUGGCCGGACAUGUCGCUGGCGCUGCCGCCGCCGGAGAGGGUCAUCCCUCCUCGGGAUCCAGCGGGAGGCGGGGCCACGUGACCGUGCGUGACGUCAGGGCCGCGGCCGAGCCGGCCAAACUCAAGUUGGUUCAGGGAAUUGUCAACAAAGGGACGAGAGACGCGCAACUCCGCUCCGCACUGUGCGCCAGCAUCCCCGGGGCACGGAGGGCGCUGCGGCCCGCCCGGAGACCCCCCCACCCAGGCUGGAUCCGGGCCCUGGGGCCCAGGGAGCGGGUGUGGACAAAUCCUCCAAGAUUUAACUUCCAAGAAAACCGGCGGCGGAGCGGGUGGAGGAGGCGAGGAUGUGUGGCCAAUGCACGCGGAGUGCAAGGCCGCCUAGUUGGGAGCCGCAAGAGCCUGCCUGGUGUGGCAGGCACACGGAACCCAAUCCCUGUCUGUCCGCUGCGGCCUGGGAGGGGAGCGCCGGCCUCACCAGAGGAAGGAGCACGAGGGGAGGAGUUCCGAGAGGAAAUAAUUAGUGAAAUAUUUGCAGAAGAUGCUGGGAUGUGGAUUUAAUUCCGGAUGGACAGUGGUGCUUCUGAUUCCCUCAGUCUGUUUCCCCACCCACGAUCUCCU